CCAGAGAACUUAGCAGAGAUGCUUUUGGUGCCCUUUCGGGAACUCUGAGACAGGUGCUGCAUGGCUGUCGUCAGCUCGUGUUGUGAAAUGUUGGGUUAAGUCCCGCAACGAGCGCAACCCUUAUCCUUUGUUGCCAGCGGCUCGGCCGGGAACUCAAAGGAGACUGCCGGUGAUAAACCGGAGGAAGGUGGGGAUGACGUCAAGUCAUCAUGGCCCUUACGGCCAGGGCUACACACGUGCUACAAUGGCGCAUACAAAGAGAAGCGACCUCGCGAGAGCAAGCGGACCUCAUAAAGUGCGUCGUAGUCCGGAUUGGAGUCUGCAACUCGACUCCAUGAAGUCGGAAUCGCUAGUAAUCGUAGAUCAGAAUGCUACGGUGAAUACGUUCCCGGGCCUUGUACACACCGCCCGUCACACCAUGGGAGUGGGUUGCAAAAGAAGUAGGUAGCUUAACCUUCGGGAGGGCGCUUACCACUUUGUGAUUCAUGACUGGGGUGAAGUCGUAACAAGGUAAGCGUAGCGAG
Molecule: ribosomal RNA, 524 nt
Filed under: uncultured bacterium
Lineage: Bacteria
Description: bacterial SSU rRNA
Rfam family: Bacterial small subunit ribosomal RNA
Source: RNAcentral